GCUCAACCGAAGAAGUGCAUCGGAAACUGGGAAACUUGAGUGCAGAAGAGGACAGUGGAACUCCAUGUGUAGCGGUGAAAUGCGUAGAUAUAUGGAAGAACACCAGUGGCGAAGGCGGCUGUCUGGUCUGUAACUGACGCUGAGGCUCGAAAGUAUGGGUAGCAAACAGGAUUAGAUACCCUGGUAGUCCAUACCGUAAACGAUGAAUGCUAAGUGUUGGAGGGUUUCCGCCCUUCAGUGCUGCAGCUAACGCAUUAAGCAUUCCGCCUGGGGAGUACGGCCGCAAGGCUGAAACUCAAAGGAAUUGACGGGGGCCCGCACAAGCGGUGGAGCAUGUGGUUUAAUUCGAAGCUACGCGAAGAACCUUACCAGGUCUUGACAUACUAUGCAAAUCUAAGAGAUUAGACGUUCCCUUCGGGGACAUGGAUACAGGUGGUGCAUGGCUGUCGUCAGCUCGUGUCGUGAGAUGUUGGGUUAAGUCCCGCAACGAGCGCAACCCUUAUUAUCAGUUGCCAGCAUUAAGUUGGGCUCUCUGGUGAGACUGCCGGUGACAAACCGGAGGAAGGUGGGGAUGACGUCAAAUCAUCAUGCCCCUUAUGACCUGUGCUACACACGUGCUACAAUGGAUGGUACAACG
This 637-nucleotide ribosomal RNA is filed under the name uncultured bacterium. RNAcentral's name for it is "bacterial SSU rRNA". It matches the Rfam family "Bacterial small subunit ribosomal RNA", at positions 607 to 1244 of the family's 1533-position model. The record is from RNAcentral.